UACGUGCGCAUGCGCAGAUGGUGAGCGACGUGGCCUGGUACUGCAGGUGUAGCAAACCGGUGCGAGUCCAACCGGCAGCGAGUUUCCCGUUUCUCAGCGAGCGCCAAGCCUGUCGAUUCUUGGCAGAGAUGAUCUCUCUCACCGACUCUCAGAAAAUUGGGAUGGGUUUAACAGGUUUUGGAGUGUUUUUCCUGUUCUUUGGAAUGAUUCUGUUCUUUGACAAAGCACUCCUUGCUAUUGGAAACAUCCUCUUCGUGGUUGGUCUGGCGUUCGUCAUUGGCUUGGAAAGGACUUUUAGGUUCUUCUUCCAGAAGCACAAGAUGAAAGCCACUAGCUUCUUCCUUGGGGGUGUCUUCGUCGUGCUGAUUGGCUGGCCCAUAGUUGGAGUAAUUCUAGAAUUUUAUGGAUUCUUCCUUUUAUUCAGGAGUUUCUUUCCAGUGGUCAUCGGUUUCAUCAGAAGAAUACCUGUCCUGGGUUCCCUGCUCAAUCUGCCAUUCAUUAGUGGGCCGUCGUAAGGCUGAGAGGACAGUCAGCACUCUUGGUCAGUCACUGCUGCUCGACUCCCCUGCAUUAUGUGGACAAACUAGGAGAGAGCAACAGCAUGGUAUAAUGGACACUGUGCUUUUCCUUCUUCUUUAUGACGGAUUUCCUAAAACGGCUUUAUUCCAAAACACACUAACUAAAAUUGUUUGUCAUAUUACGGAAACAUGCGGCGCAGGCGUCUUUCCUCAAAAGGUCAGAGGGGUAGGGGGAGUUUUUGGUCCUAUUCCUUUCCACCUCUGACACAAGACCAGCUGAGUGGCAAUUAAGGAGGUACUUAGUGCUGUGAGAGGCACCACCACCUCCACCUUCCUGUUCCACUCCACUACGAACAUCCCUCGCUUACUUCAACAGAGGGGCUGCUACCUGGGCUGUUAUGAUGGCUUGUUCACCGCUUUGAUUUGUGGAUCAGAGCCUGGAGCCGGAGGCACCCACUGUAGGGGCUGUGUGUGUGUAUAGUCUGUGGAGUGAGGAGUCUGUGUGGAGACUGUGGAGUCUGCUCUCAGUCAGAAACAUCACUGCUUGGAGGGAGCAGGGCAGGAACACCGCAAGCCCCUGGCUGGGUGGGCUAUGCAUGAAUGUUUCACUUUAAAAAUAUUUUUAAACAGUUUAUCUACUGUUGAGAAAUGAUCCAACUGAUUUGAACUUUGUAAAUACAGAUUAAUAAAAAGAAAGCACAAAACUGA
Electrophorus electricus (electric eel) is the source of this 1226-nucleotide RNA transcript. It is a transcript of the gene named golgi transport 1Ba, with no coding region annotated. NCBI's taxonomy places the organism in Eukaryota, Metazoa, Chordata, Actinopteri, Gymnotiformes, Gymnotidae. The record is from RefSeq and is a predicted model, not a curated record.